This 265-nucleotide unclassified non-coding RNA is filed under the name plant metagenome. RNAcentral's name for it is "partial contains small subunit ribosomal RNA, internal transcribed spacer 1, and 5.8S ribosomal RNA". The stretch from base 1 to 53 matches the Rfam family "Eukaryotic small subunit ribosomal RNA", at positions 1779 to 1831 of the family's 1831-position model. The record is from RNAcentral.
GGAGUAAAAGUCGUAACAAGGUCUCCGUUGGUGAACCAGCGGAGGGAUCAUUACCGAGUUUACAACUCCCAAACCCAAUGUGAACCAUACCAAACUGUUGCCUCGGCGGGGUCACGCCCCGGGUGCGUCGCAGCCCCGGAACCAGGCGCCCGCCGGAGGGACCAACCAAACUCUUUCUGUAGUCCCCUCGCGGACGUUAUUUUUACAGCUCUGAGCAAAAAUUCAAAAUGAAUCAAAACUUUCAACAACGGAUCUCUUGGUUCUG